AGUGAACGCUGGCGGUAGGCCUAACACAUGCAAGUCGAACGGCAGCACAGUAAGAGCUUGCUCUUACGGGUGGCGAGUGGCGGACGGGUGAGGAAUACAUCGGAAUCUACUUUUUCGUGGGGGAUAACGUAGGGAAACUUACGCUAAUACCGCAUACGACCUACGGGUGAAAGCAGGGGAUCUUCGGACUUUGCGCGAUUGAAUGAGCCGCUGUCGGAUUAGCUAGUUGGCGGGGUAAAGGCCCACCAAGGCGACGAUCCGUAGCUGGUCUGAGAGGAUGAUCCGCCACACUGGAACGGAGACACGGUCCAGACUCCUACGGGAGGCAGCAGUGGGGAAUAUUGGACAAUGGGCGCAAGCCUGAUCCAGCCAUACCGCGUGGGUGAAGAAGGCCUUCGGGUUGUAAAGCCCUUUUGUUGGGAAAGAAAAGCAGCAGGUUAAUACCCCGCUGUUCUGACGGUACCCAAAGAAUAAGCACCGGCUAACUUCGUG
RNAcentral lists this ribosomal RNA (492 nucleotides) under uncultured bacterium. RNAcentral describes it as "partial 16S ribosomal RNA". It matches the Rfam family "Bacterial small subunit ribosomal RNA", at positions 29 to 507 of the family's 1533-position model. The record is from RNAcentral.